RNAcentral lists this ribosomal RNA (425 nucleotides) under uncultured bacterium. Its description in RNAcentral is "bacterial SSU rRNA". It matches the Rfam family "Bacterial small subunit ribosomal RNA", at positions 354 to 796 of the family's 1533-position model. The record is from RNAcentral.
GUGGGGAAUAUUGCACAAUGGGGGGAACCCUGAUGCAGCGACGCCGCGUGAGUGAAGAAGUAUUUCGGUAUGUAAAGCUCUAUCAGCAGGGAAGAAAAUGACGGUACCUGACUAAGAAGCCCCGGCUAACUACGUGCCAGCAGCCGCGGUAAUACGUAGGGGGCAAGCGUUAUCCGGAUUUACUGGGUGUAAAGGGAGCGUAGACGGCGACGCAAGUCUGAAGUGAAAUGCCAGUGCUCAACACUGGAACUGCUUUGGAAACUGUGUAGCUAGAGUGCAGGAGAGGUAAGUGGAAUUCCUAGUGUAGCGGUGAAAUGCGUAGAUAUUAGGAGGAACACCAGUGGCGAAGGCGGCUUACUGGACUGUAACUGACGUUGAGGCUCGAAGGCGUGGGGAGCAAACAGGAUUAGAAACCCUAGUAGUCC